GGCGGACGGGUGACUAUCGCGUGGGAAUCUGCCUGGUAGUGGGGGACAACUCGGGGAAACUCGAGCUAAUACCGCAUACGCCCACGGGGGAAAGCGGGGGAUCUUCGGACCUCGCGCUCCCAGAUGAGCCCGCGUCGGAUUAGCUAGUUGGUGGGGUAAAGGCCCACGAAGGCGACGAUCCGUAGCUGGUCUGAGAGGAUGAUCAGCCACACUGGGACUGAGACACGGCCCAGACUCUCUACGGGAGGCAGCAGUGGGGAAUAUUGGUCAAUGGGGGCAACCCUGAUCCAGCCAUGCCCCGUGUGUGAAGAAGGCCUUCGGGUUGUAAAGCACUUUCAUCGGGAGGAAGGGGUGUUGGUUAAUACCCAACAUCAUUGACGUUACCGACAGAAGAUGCACCGGCUAACUCCGUGCCAGCAGCCGCGGUAAUACGGAGGGUGCGAGGGUUAAUCGGAAUUACUGGGCGUAAAGCGCGCGUAGGCGGUUAGUAAAGCUGGAUGUGAAAGCCCCGGGCUCAACCUGGGAAACUGCAUUCAGAAGUGGCUGGCUAGAGUACGAGAGAGGGUAGUGGAAUUUCCUGUGUAGCGGUGAAAUGCGUAGAUAUAGGAAGGAACAUCAGUGGCGAAGGCCACUGC
Molecule: ribosomal RNA, 635 nt
Filed under: uncultured bacterium
Lineage: Bacteria
Description: bacterial SSU rRNA
Rfam family: Bacterial small subunit ribosomal RNA
Source: RNAcentral